Molecule: ribosomal RNA, 497 nt
Filed under: uncultured bacterium
Lineage: Bacteria
Description: partial 16S ribosomal RNA
Rfam family: Bacterial small subunit ribosomal RNA
Source: RNAcentral
GAUGAACGCUGGCGGCGUGCCUAAUACAUGCAAGUCGAGCGAACAGAUGAGGAGCUUGCUCCUCUGACGUUAGCGGCGGACGGGUGAGUAACACGUGGAUAACCUACCUAUAAGACUGGGAUAACUUCGGGAAACCGGAGCUAAUACCGGAUAAUAUAUUGAACCGCAUGGUUCAAUAGUGAAAGACGGUUUUGCUGUCACUUAUAGAUGGAUCCGCGCCGCAUUAGCUAGUUGGUAAGGUAACGGCUUACCAAGGCAACGAUGCGUAGCCGACCUGAGAGGGUGAUCGGCCACACUGGAACUGAGACACGGUCCAGACUCCUACGGGAGGCAGCAGUAGGGAAUCUUCCGCAAUGGGCGAAAGCCUGACGGAGCAACGCCGCGUGAGUGAAGAAGGUCUUCGGAUCGUAAAACUCUGUUAUUAGGGAAGAACAAAUGUGUAAGUAACUAUGCACGUCUUGACGGUACCUAAUCAAAAAGCCACGGCUAACUACGUG